UGGUCGGGCCGAGCAAAUGUUUGAUGAAUGAAUGAAUGAAUGCCUCCCUCCCUCGCGGAGCUCAGAGCAGUUUUGCGGAAGUGCAAGCGCUUUGUAAACUGCGUAGCAUUGUAAAGAUGAGAGUUGUAACACAUCCCUCUCCCCCCGUCCCCCUCCCCGCAAGGAAAUAGGGGUGCGGCGGAGUGAGGAGUCACAACCUGAGUCUUUAGUGAAAAACGAGGCGAAUUGCUGGGACGAGGGAAGGGAGCCAUCCUCCCGGAGAGUGUGGAAGGAUUUUUGACUUUUUCAGGAGGAGAAUUUAGCAGUGCCUCCCUUUCGGGAAUCAUUCUUGCUUGUGGUUUGGAGCUUUGGAGAGCUGGUAUUGGCUGUUAAUCAGUGUCCAUUACCGUCAUCAAGAAAUUUUGGCCUGUGUUUCAGGUCUGACUCAAAGGCUAUUUCCUUUCUAAAAUAUCAUUACCAUUUAGGCAGGUCUUCCUACGGGUGUUAUCCUGGAAAGUAAAUCAAAGUAAAAAACUCAUGAGGUUGAAAGGGUGGUUCUCUAGGACAAGAAAUUUUAAGAUAAAAGGAUUUCAGAAUCCUCAGAAAUCUGUCUUGAACCUGUCCUGGUGAAUAGUGUGAGAACGAGAUAAAAGCAGCAGUGAUGAAAGGAAGCAGAUUCCACAGUUGGGUCUCCGGACUCUGGCGCUCCUUGCCUCGUCUGGAAGCAGCAGUAGUGGCUGUUACAGAUCUUUCCACCUCAGGGGGUGAGGUGCAAGUGUUUAUAGGCAGAUCUGGGGAGCUCAGAGUUCCUGACACUCCUGCCACCACCAUAUGCAAAUAGGCCAAGGAAACUUGUAACUGGGUAAAAUCCAAGGGCUCAUUUUUAUUAAAAUGCUGCAGUAAAAGUGAUGGGAGGAGAGAGAUGGAUAUUGCCAAAGCAAGAAGAGACUCACAAAGUAGCGUCUGCACAGCUGCCCUUCAUCCAAAGUUCUAAGAACCAGGUUAACUCUCCUACUUUUCAGCUACCCUGGAUUUGACUCUCUUCUCGUGACCAGUCCUUGCCAGGUCCUUCCAAAUAAGACUCACAGGAAAUCAAACCAGCAAGUGAUGGCCCCACAUGGCUACAAAGUAAAUCUUUUUGGAUUUUGCUCCUCUUCCUAAUUUUUCAUGAAAAUGGCAAGAAUAAAAUAUACAGAAUGAGGGGAUUUUGUAAAGCCAAGCACCUCAGAUUUUAAGUUCUAAGAGCUUUGGAUGAAAAGAAUGCAAACAUCAGAGCUCUGCGACCCAGCAGAGGACGCCUCCAGAAAAGUGUGUAACCACAUGGAGCUUUUCAGCAGCCUGAUCUGUUUUCGUUGUCAGUGGCUCCACCAGAGAACUUUGGUGCCGAGAGGCAGAAUGGCACUCAGCCACCUACUGAUGAAGUUACAGCUGCACUAGCUUACUAGGCAAGAUCCACCCCCUUCACCCAGUAUGGUAACUGGAGGAAACAGCUGGAACUGGUGACGGCAGAGAAGGAAGUUCAUACAUUUCCAACUUGGUCUGCAUCUCUUUAGUUCUUUUACUUCUUAUUAAUCCAGAGGAGAAAACAGCUGGUUCAUUCGCAAUUCCAAAAAAAAUCCGAAGUUUUAGGUAACAGCGUUCUUUGCCUGGUACAUCAGUUUGUAUGAUAAGGAUCUGCAUACUAUGUUAAAAUAUAACAAUGGGAUAUUUGUAUAAGGCUCUUCUCUGCUACACUUGAAAGUGAGCUUGUCUGAGAAACUAUUUUAUCAGUUUUAUUAUCCCACAUCAGUAGCUUUUGCUGUCAAAGAUUUCAUAAGCUAAAUUUUCUAGCAAAAUUUCUUUCUAGAAAUUCCAUCUACAAUAUUCAGUUACUUUUAGCGGUUUUAUUGUGACAUAUGCAUUAAAAUGCAUAAAUCAGUUAUUCAGUUGUAAUGAGUAAUUGUAAAAGAAACCUCCAUGUAACCAACCAGGUCAAGAACUGGAACACUGCCAGCACCCCAGAAGUGCCCCAGUGACCUUCCUGAACACAACUCUUUCCCUCCCUUUUAGAGUUCUUUGUUUAGAGUCAGUGAUAUUAUAAGGCUGGAGGAAGACCCAGAGAAAUUAAAUGACUUACCCAGGGUCAGAAGAGCAAGUAAAAAGGAAGCCUGGACUCGGCCCCAAGUCUUCAAAAUAGAGUAUGCUCGCUAUUAUAUCACAGUGGCCCUCAGGCUCCUGGAGCAGUAAGGCUACCACGACCUCUGCUUAACUCGACCAGAAUCUGCAUCUGAUUUUCGUUACCAAAACCCUUUCACUAGGAGUCCUGUGCACCAGAACCCACCACCACUGCAGCCUGCCACCACAGUAUGUACUUAGCUGAUUCCAAAGGAAGGAAAAGACAUACUUGACAAGAACCUAGAAUGUGCAGUUAUUUAAUCUUCACAAAACCUUGCAAAGUAGGUGCAAGAUGCCCACGUUCCUUUUUCCUCUUCCCUGGCCACAAAGGAAGACUGUGUUUCCCAGCCUCCCUUGCAGUUAGGCUGGAGCCCAGUGAUUAGUCUGUCCAGCAGAAUGUGGGCAGGAGUAAUGUGUGUCAUGCCCAGGCUUGAUCCCUAAAGUUUCCCAUGAGAUAAUCAGCUCCUCUGUCUACAGGCUUAGAAGCAAAGGAUGUGCAGAUAUUGGAUCACAUGCUAGGAGGAGUCCAGAUUCCUUAGUUGCUGCUUGGAGAAGUGCUAUCUGACUUAAAUCAAACAGUGAACAGAGCAAAACGUAUAAAGUUAUGUUAAGUUGCUGAGUUUAAUAACAAGUCUGCAUUUAAAACAUAAAGAAUGUUAGUAUUCUCAUCUAGUGAGGUUAAGUGAUAUAAGUAAGCUUUUGUGACCUGACGAGAAAAUGCAACCCCCUUUUGUUAUAUUUUUAUAGAAAUAUGAGUUCUGAGUCCCAAUUCAAGCUAUAAAAAGGACAUUUAGGGAAAAGAAAACAACAAUCCUAGGUACUGACUGUUCUGUGAAAGAAUCACAUGGUGUAACAUCAGCACCCUCCAGAUAUUUGUUGAAGGCUUCCUUGUCAACCAAUAGGCUUCCAAUUCAAGGAUAAUAUAUCCUUAGGUUCUCCAGCCUGUCGUUGCAGGAUUGACAUUUCUUUCAGUAACCAAACAAAAUGUUAUGACCUACCCUCUUAUAUGUUAUGAAAAGUUCAGAGCCAGCUCUCUCCACUAUGGCUGGUGUCCUCAAAUUAUUUCAGUGCCUUGCCCCUCACUGGACACGAGUGUUUCAUUUCAUCAACAUAAGACUGUUCUAUGUAGCAGACUUUUAGGUUGAGGGGUAACAAAUGGUUAUUAUAGUAUAAGAACCAACUUACAGCACAGGAAACAAUUUCAAAAUUGAUGUCAGAUAUAACUUUUCCUAAAACUGUUGGUCAGUUGCAACCUUAGGGAAUUUCUCACUGAUUAUGUCUUUCCUUAGGUCUCUUCCAGUCACCCUGGAUUUGCUACUCUAACCCCACAUCCCCUUCACAUCUCUCCAGAACAGUCUCUUUAAAUACAAGAUUCCUUUUACUUUCUUACAAGCAAUUCAACUGUCUUGGGUCUCCACCUUUGAUUAAAAAAGCCCAUCAAACUCGUUGUUAAUAAUUUAUACAGAUGCAAAUAACAGAAAACCCAACUGGCAUAAACAUGUAGAGAGUUUGCUGUUUCUCUUAAUAAAAAAUCCACUGGUAGGGAGUUCAAGAUUGGCACAGCAGCUCAGUAAUGCCAUCAAGUACCCAGGCUGCUUUUCUUUCCUUGCCGUCCUCAUUGCCAUCAAUGUCAUGUUGACUUUUAUCAUCAAGCCUGUUGUUUAAUGAGUCACAAACAGGCUGCUGUUCCUCAGGAGCUACAGCCAAAUUGCAGACUGGAAGGAAGGAGAACGGAUGGUGCCUGUAUGAGGGAAAGCCGAUUCUUCUCCCAACAUUUCCAGCACACUUCUGUUUAGGUCUAAUUGAUAGAGUGGUGCCUUGGGGCACACCUAGAUCUAAAGAAGGCUGAGUAGUAUUUUAGCUGGGCAUUGUUGCCCAACAAGAGGUUGGAUUUCUAUAACUAAGGAAAGCGGGAAGAAUAGACAAGGAGUAGGAAAUUAGGAGUGUCUGACACACUUUGUCUUAGUCUGUUCUGACUGCUAUAAAAAAUUACCGUAGAGUAGGUGGCUUAUAAGUAACAGAAAUUUAUUCCCCGCAGUUCUGGAGGCUGGAAGUCUGAGAGCAGGGUGCCAGCAUGCUGGGGAGAGGGCCUUCUUCCAGGUUGCAGACUGCUGACUUCUUGCAUCCUCACAUGAUCGAGAGCAGAGGGCAGCAACCUCUCUCCUAACUCUUAAAAGGGCACUGAUCCCAUUCAUGAGGCUUCUCCUUCAGGAACUCAUCUAAUCCUACUCACCUCCCAAAGGCCUCACCUCUUGGUACCAUCACAAUGGGGGAAGGAGAGGAGGGUGGCAGGGCAGAAUAGGACUUCAACAUACGAACAUUCAGUCCAUAGCUCCCUUAAAGAUAUUUUUCAUAAAAAGACCAAUCUACCCCAGAGAUGAAAUGCCAAGGUCUAAACCCCAGAAACAGUUACCAUGGUUUUUGUUUUAAAUGGCAAUUUCCCCAAUGCUUGGCAUACAAACAUCAGUAAUAUGUAGAAUUUUCUUUUUGGCUUCUUGUAGUUUAAAAAUUCCAGCAACAUACUUUCAGGAGCAUUUUUAAUAAAUGAAUUUGUGACUUCCAUGUGGUUCAUUUUUAAUCUCUUACAUCAUCAUUGCAAAACACUGCUUAUUAGUGGCAUUUUAAGCUCUUGUUUUAGACCCAUGUGUAAAAAUGAUUAAAUAUUCAUUUCCCUUUUAAAACCAAACAUAAGCAUUACUUUUAUUUAGUUUAAAACAAUCUGAAACUUACAAAAAAUUACAAGUACAGUAGGAAGAACUUUUUUAUCUUGAACUGCCAUUUGGGGGUAAGUUGCCAACCUGAUGCCCCACCAUCCCCAAAUACUUAAGGGAGUGCAAUCAGUUAUUCUCCCACAUAAUCACAAUAUAACCAUCAAAAUAAACACGGAUCAUUUAUAUUAAACAAUCCUAAGACCUUCAUUAAAUUUCAUCAAUCAUCCCAGUAAUAUCUUUUAUAGCAAAAAAAGGAUACAUGGACUUCCCUGGUGGCGCAGUGGUUGAGAGUCCGCCUGCCGAUGCAGGGGACACGGGUUCGUGCCCUG
Molecule: RNA transcript, 5173 nt
Organism: Delphinapterus leucas (beluga whale)
Lineage: Eukaryota; Metazoa; Chordata; Mammalia; Artiodactyla; Monodontidae
Source: RefSeq, a predicted model, not a curated record